Bos indicus x Bos taurus (hybrid cattle) is the source of this 986-nucleotide long non-coding RNA. The record is from Ensembl. NCBI's taxonomy places the organism in Eukaryota, Metazoa, Chordata, Mammalia, Artiodactyla, Bovidae.
AAACGGGGGGCGCGGCGGCUGCACUGGAGUGAACUGGCCUGGUCCGCUCGCCGGCCGUGCGCGCUGCCUUCGGGUCCACUGCUGUGUAUCCGCACCCGGAAACCGUCCAGGGGAGUAGAACCCCUGGAUACGUUGCUCAUUUGCCUUUCUGAGAUCUCAGUUCCGGAGAGCAGGAUCUGACUUUAUCUCAGACCGAGCCCCAGUUGGCACGCUUUAUUCACUGUUAAAGGAGAGAGGUCUUUUCAUUCUCCUUCGCCAUCAGAGUGUGGAAAGUCCUGCAUGUAUAUAUGUCCAUUAUUCUCACCAUAUUCUCUUCAUGGCCAGAAAAAUUGCCACAGACGAACAGGCCCUUAAUAGAUGUUUGAAGUUACUGACAAAUCCGGGCAAGUAUUCGUUUGUCAGGAAUUAUUUUAAGUGAAAUCUUCUUGGAGGAUAGUUAUUUUGUAGCUGUUUUUUCUAGACUUCUCCCCUUUUCCCGAGGAAUCCUCUAGGUGGUCAGGAACUGUAAAUCCUUGUCAAUGUUUAUUAAAAUCCCCAUUGUUUGUAGGACAUUAUCUGAUGCAAAAGUACAUUCUGACGGAAUGUCAUUAGCUCACUGCAAAAAAGCAACUGUUAAGCAGGUGACCCAAAUGGCUUUCUAAUUUUCUGUAAAGUAUGUGAAACAAUGAAUCUUAAUAUAGUUUAUGCACAAACCACUGAUGCUUAAUGGAUCCACAUUUUCACUCAUAUUUUAUUAAAAUCUUUUGCCUUGAGCUGCAAUUAGGUAACUAACUGUAAAUUGGUCAGAGAGUCAGAAACAUAAGAGCCAGGUAACUGAAGUAAUUGAGCAAAAUGAGGUCAUUUUUCCUCCAGCACCAGAUGGGUACCACAGGUGGGAACUAUAACACUUGAUCUCUUCCAUAUGACUCAGAAAGAAAAUUAGAGAUUAAUGUUAUUUGCUUCAGCUUUUAAAUAAAAUAUUUUAUAGUGAAAGUUUUUGUUAAACA